This 445-nucleotide ribosomal RNA is filed under the name uncultured bacterium. RNAcentral's name for it is "bacterial SSU rRNA". It matches the Rfam family "Bacterial small subunit ribosomal RNA", at positions 28 to 523 of the family's 1533-position model. The record is from RNAcentral.
GAUGAACGCUGGCGGUCUGCUUAACACAUGCAAGUCGAACGAACUCUUCGGAGUGAGUGGCGGACGGGUGAGUAACGCGUGGGAACGUGCCCUUCUCUACGGAAUAGUCCUGGGAAACUGGGUUUAAUACCGUAUACGCCCUUCGGGGAAAGAAUUUCGGGGAAGGAUCGGCCCGCGUUGGAUUAGGUAGUUGGUGGGGUAAUGGCCUACCAAGCCGACGAUCCAUAGCUGGUUUGAGAGGAUGAUCAGCCACACUGGGACUGAGACACGGCCCAGACUCCUACGGGAGGCAGCAGUGGGGAAUCUUAGACAAUGGGGGCAACCCUGAUCUAGCCAUGCCGCGUGAGUGACGAAGGCCCUAGGGUCGUAAAGCUCUUUCGCCAGGGAUGAUAAUGACAGUACCUGGUAAAGAACCCCGGCUAACUCCGUGCCAGCGCCGCGGUAA